AAGCUGUGAUGUGGGUACUUUCUCAAUAAGUCCUUGAAUCUCUCCCAAGCUUCAUACAAACUCUCUUGAUCAUGGUGGACAAAGGUCAUUAUCUCGUUUCACAGUUU
This is a non-coding RNA of Jatropha curcas, 107 nucleotides long. The record is from Rfam. Lineage: Eukaryota; Viridiplantae; Streptophyta; Magnoliopsida; Malpighiales; Euphorbiaceae.